GGGGGUACAGCUCAGUGGUAGAGUGCAGGCUUAGCAUGCACGAGGUUCUGGGUUCAAUCCCCAGCACCUCCA
This 72-nucleotide transfer RNA is filed under the name Camelus bactrianus (Bactrian camel). It matches the Rfam family "tRNA". From Rfam's summary of the family: Transfer RNA (tRNA) molecules are approximately 80 nucleotides in length. Their secondary structure includes four short double-helical elements and three loops (D, anti-codon, and T loops). Further hydrogen bonds mediate the characteristic L-shaped molecular structure. tRNAs have two regions of fundamental functional importance: the anti-codon, which is responsible for specific mRNA codon recognition, and the 3' end, to which the tRNAs corresponding amino acid is attached (by aminoacyl-tRNA synthetases). tRNAs cope with the degeneracy of the genetic code in two manners: having more than one tRNA (with a specific anti-codon) for a particular amino acid; and 'wobble' base-pairing, i.e. permitting non-standard base-pairing at the 3rd anti-codon position. Lineage: Eukaryota; Metazoa; Chordata; Mammalia; Artiodactyla; Camelidae. The record is from Rfam by way of RNAcentral. RNAcentral also lists the same sequence under 2 other names.